Molecule: non-coding RNA, 1021 nt
Organism: Kogia breviceps (pygmy sperm whale)
Lineage: Eukaryota; Metazoa; Chordata; Mammalia; Artiodactyla; Physeteridae
Source: RefSeq, a predicted model, not a curated record
UCCGGAGCCCUUUGUGAGGGCUGCGGGAGCGCCGGACGGCGGCACCAUGAGCGGUGCGGGCGGAGCGGCGGUGGCGUCCGGGGACUCGGCGCCGCCCGCGCAGGAGGAGGGCAUGACAUGGUGGUACCGCUGGCUGUGUCGCCUGUCGGGGGUGUUAGGGGCCGUCUCUUGCGCCAUCUCCGGCCUCUUCAACUGCAUCACCAUCCACCCUCUGAACAUUGCAGCCGGCGUGUGGAUGAUGUGAGUAGCCGUGUGACCGUCCUGCUGGGGGGUGUUGGGGCGUGUGGAUUUCUGGGCACCUCCCAGGUGGAACACGACACGAACGCGUUCAUCCUCCUGCUGUGUGAGGCGCCCUUCUGCUGCCAGUUCAUCGAGUUUGCGAACACGGUGGCGGCGAAGGUGGACCAGCUGCGCUCCUGGCAGAAGGCCGUCUUCUACUGCGGGAUGGCCGUCGUCCCCAUCGUCAUCAGCCUGACCCUGACCACGCUGCUGGGCAACGCCAUCGCCUUCGCCACCGGAGUGCUGUACGGACUGUCUGCUCUGGGCAAGAAGGGCGACGCGGUCUCCUACGCCAGGAUCCGGCAGCAGGGGCAGCAGGCGGACGAGGAGAAGCUCACGGACACCCUGGAGGGGGAGCUGUGAUGUGGCCGGGCGCCCUCCCGCCCCCCGUCGGCCCUCUGGUCUGUGUGAGCGCGUCCCCGAGGCGCACUGACCCUGAGGGGCAGCCUGGGAGAGGCGCCUGCGUCCAGCUCCCUCGGUCCCUGUCACCUGUCCCCGCACCUGGAGUCCUCUGUCGGCCCCUCCCCCAGAUCGGCAUCGCCCCAAGCCAGGCUCCGAGGGGCCGGGGAGGAGAAGGGCUGGCUGUGUGUUGAGGAAGCUUGCGCUUCUGCCCUGUGAGGAAGUUGGGUGGACCCUCCAACCCCUCGGUCCCAGGCCAGAGUGGGCAGGUCACUUGCCGAGGUUCCGAAUGAGCGUAGCCGAGCAGCCCUGGAGCUGCGACCCUGUCUCCCAGUCAGGGGUG